CGUUGGGCUCCUGGCAUGGAGCCUGCUUCUCCCUCUGCCUGUGUCUCUGCCUCUCUCUAUCACGAAUAAAUAAAUAAAUAAAAUCUUUAAAAAAAUAAAAAGAUAAAAAUCCUCUUUAAGAAGAUGUUGUAAUUAAAAUCUAAACACCCGUAUUAUCAUUACUUAUCUUCUCUGAGAGCCGCAAAGCCAUUUUAAAUUAAUCCAGUGAAAAUAAAAUACUGUUGCUUUACCUUUAGGAAUAAACUGACAUCCAAGCAGUUCCAUUUUCAUGGCAAUUUUCUGCUGCCACUGGGUAGGAUUCACUCUAAUAAAACGUGCAACAAUUGGUGGCAAAAAGUUAUUACGCACAUCCUGGUGAUAAUCUUUGUUUCCUUGAAAUAUCUUUAAAAAACAACAAAAAAUUGGUACUUUACAUCAACAGAAGUCAGGGUUAUACUGUUCCACUGAAACAUUUUUGUUUUUUUUGUUUUUUUUUGCUCUGGGUCUUAAAUGACAUCUGUAAAGUAUGACAGUAAGAAUUAAUUUCUCAGAAAAUAAAUUAAUCAUAAUUUGGACAAACUAUUAAGAAGCUACACAUUCUUAAUCAAACACUUAUAAAAGUACUGAAUACACAAACGAUUUUAAUGUGAUUUAAACAUAAUAAAAAUGCUAACUUGGCAACUGGGAAGAGGGUUUCAGUCCCGUGAGGCAGUAUAAUUCUAUUAGUAAAUUAGGAAUUGUAGCCCUGUGGGAUUACCAACUGUUCAAAUAUAUUAAUUUUCAAAGUGAAGCAUAAUUGAACAUACAGUCUUAGAGGAAAUGCUUUACUGUGUACUUUUCAUAAUUUUUCUCACAGAAGAGGCACAGAAAGUGAACAUCGACUAAGGAAUAUGCAACAGUCAGAUACCCCCACCUACUGGAUAAACGACAUAAAGACAGUUCUCAUGUUAAACCCACUUUCAUUCCUUGUUGCUAUCUAAACCAGACAAGUGAUUCUGAAACGCUGCUGCCUAAUUUUAAUGAACCCAUGUAAACAGCAACAGAUGCAUUCUAUGUAUUAUAUGCAUUCUAUGUAUUAGGUAAAAAUACGAUUUCAAGUGACUAGCUCAUCCCCUCAAUCAUUUCAAGCAUAUCAUGAUAAUAUAUAACACUGAAGGGCUCUUAUUUACAAAGCAUUUUCACAUAAUUAUCUCAACUGUUCUCUAGGACAACCCCAUGAAAUACACAGGACCCAGAAAACUGCAGCUCCCAGAAUUUCUAGAUGAGAAGAACUUGGCCUUCCUUGGGAGCAAGGACUUCCCCGAGUUCCAAGGUCCUCGUGGUGGAUCACAGGCCAGAAGCCCAGGUGAAAGUGUCAUCUAGAGGAUAGCCACUACUCCCCACUCCCCACCCCUGAUCAUCUGCUCUGAAACAUUCCUGCAUUAUCACUGUCUGUGAACUAAAACAAUUUGACAACUAGCAUGGAAGCUAAGGAAACUCUUCAGAUAGGAAAAAAGUUUUCUAAGCCCCAAUUUGCUAUAGUGAUCUUGAAAUAAACUUUCAAGUCUACAUCCCAUCCUAUAAUGCACUUUUGCCUUCAGCUAUUGUCUGUUGUCCCCUUGCCUCCAUAGAAGAAAUCUGGGGACAAAUUAGGCUCUCCAUCAUUCUGUGGAUUAACAGGAAAAACUUAUUUAUGACAAGAAAUUACAAGUUCCUUUUUAGAAUUUUUUUUAAUAAGUUACCACUACUGAUUGAAAAUUAUUCAUUCCUUCAUUCACUUAUGUAGGCUCUACACUCAAAGUGAGGUUUAAAUUCAUGACCCUGAGAUCAAGAGUCACACGCUUUGCCACAUGAGCCAGCCAGGUGCCCCUUCUUUUUAGAACUUCUUAAUCAAGUACCUAAACAAUUGAGUUAAGAAAUCUGAGAUCAUCAAAAGGAACCUAGAACCACUGAGAAUUUCCUAACCACAGUUAGAAGAGUACGGCUAAUAACCAACACAACCUACAUAACCAAGAGACAGCAAAGACCUAGCAAUAGCUAACAUGAACACUGCACAUGAAAAUGUCCACGAUUUCUGGCAGAGGCCCAUUUUCAAAAACACCCUGGCAAUCAUCUUACCUUAUCCUGCUCCACGCCUGGCUCUCUGUACACAGUCCAUCUCUGUCCAUCAUCGCUGUAUAGAAUUCUGUAGGCUGACACAUAGUAAUUGUGUUCCACCAUGGUGGAGCCAGUGGUUACAAUGCCUAGGGAAUGGAAAGUUGCUUUCGUUAGUGCACACAGUCUGAUCCUUGAAGUCUGUUCAGCAUUGAAGCACAAACAUCCAAAGUGCACUGUUAAAGCAUGCUUGCCAAUGGCCCAUUACCAUCUCCAAGUGCAAGGUUUCAUUAUAAUAGCAACUAAAUCCUUGCCUUUGUUCCCUUGUAGAGACACAAGAGUUAGGGGAGCACAUAGGGAAAGGACUGUUCUAUUUUGACAGCCUGUAUUCAUGUCAUUGCAAAAUAUAUCUCAUCUACCAAGUAACAAUGACUGCCUAGGAAUGAAUGGAUUAAAACAAUUAUUUUUUUCAGUGCCAAAUCAAAAUAAAUCUUUAACAAAACUACCUCACCUAAUAAUUCUAAUAAAUUAUACUGACCAUUUGAUAAAUUGCUCCAAAUAAAUUUGUAUUCAGACACAUGCAGAAUAUUAUUUAUAGCACUUAAAAUGAACUCCUUGAACAUGAAUUUCCUUUAAUAACUAGAAGAGAUGGUAAUUUCAAAUAUCAAGAUCACUUAAUUGAAACACUACCUUAAAAGAAUCUUAUUACGAUAAAAACGAAAAGCUAGUAAAAAUCAAAAACCAACACCUUUACUCUGCCACGUUUUAAUAAAACCACCUUUUGGAAUACUUAACACCAGUAAAGAAAACUUAAAACCAUACAAUUAAAUUGGCAGUGACCUAAUUUCCUAUGAAAAUCUUAGAUGUCAUCAGAUUUCCAAAUAAAAUCAGAACUAUAAAGCAUUCUAGAAAAUUAUGUCUCUUGACCUGUUAUCUUCUUUUCUUUAUUCAGAUCUAUUUGUAACCACUGAUAUUCAUCAGUGGCAAAAGCAGCCCAGGGAGGCCCAGGUUUCUUCAGCCUGGCCUUUUCGGGUUUCCAACUGUUCUCUUGUCCUGUGUGGUCAGUCCAUUCCAGCACAGAUGAUGCUGUUAUUUGAGGAUCGGCAAUCACACCAGAUUCCAUCCCCAGGGUUCCAUAACAACCUGAAACAAAAAAGACAGAAAUUUGGUUUCUAGAUAUAAAUUCAAAAUCUGUAUAAAUUUGCUCACUGGAAACUUUCUAUUGUAUAUGCAAUUAAUAUACACUGUCCUAAUAAUAUACUGUAAUAGAGAAAUAACAAAAGUAGGCAAAUGUUUCUUGGGUCCAUGUCUUUGUGUCUCAUCAGGAAAUGUACAGACAUAUUUAUUCACAAGCAAUAACCAUUAAUUUAAUGGGAAUACAUUAUCCUCUCCCUGUGAUACUGUCUCCAGACCAGUGGAGGACUCACUCCCUACUGCAGUUAGGUGUUUGCUCAGAUGUCACAUUCUCCAUGAGGCCUAUCCUGACCCCACUUAAAACUCCAAGCCAGGCACUCCUGCGUUGCCUAUAUCUGCUUUCCUUGACCGAUUUUUCUACAUCUUCAAUAAUAUUAUAAAAAGUACAUCAUAUAUAGUAAUUUAUUUACCUACUGUUUACUGUUAAUCUCUCAAUACUAGUAUCUAAGCUCCAAGAAAGGAGGAUCUUGUUUAUUCUGUUCACCUUUGUUUCACUAGCACCAGGACAGUGCCUAACAAAUCAAAGGCACUCAAUAAGUAUUUUCUGUUGAAUUAAUUCCUUCUUCAGACAUAUUUAAAAAAUAACCUUUCCUAAGGAACUUUCCUUGCUACAUGAUCAUUUCUUUAUUAAAUAUAAAACCUCCAGUUUAUUCCAUCUAUUAUAUUAUUGUGACAUACAAGAAGGUGCAAAACACCAGCAAUUGGAAUACUACAUAUUUUAAAAAUAUUAACUAUUAUGCAAAUUAUAAUAAGUUAUAAAGUCCAUGAGAGGCUUACCACUUGUCUUAAAUGUAAAAAGACUUGUAGAUAAGUGUCCCCUGAAAGAGAGAAAGGUUGUUCUUGGUGACACUCAUAUAUUGACUUCCCUAUAUUUUUCUUAAGUAAAACUUUUUCUUUUGUUUUUACUUUACUAUAUAAAGAACUAAGGAUAUUCUAUGGCUAUAUGUUAGACAACCGAUGCUAUUCUUAGGCAAAAAAGGUCUCAUUUCAAAGCAGAACAAUUUCUGAAAUCAGCAUAAUCAACUUUCUCUACGAGUACCUAGUGCCUGUCUCAUACAUGAAAUGUGCCAAGUAAUCCCGUGUAACCUUUAACAUGUACUUAUUUAUCUUUCAUGGAAAUAAACUGAUUCCUCAAA
Long non-coding RNA from Canis lupus familiaris (dog), 4382 nucleotides. RefSeq lists it as uncharacterized. The transcript is spliced from 2 exons. The record is from RefSeq and is a predicted model, not a curated record. Lineage: Eukaryota; Metazoa; Chordata; Mammalia; Carnivora; Canidae.